UGGGGAAUAUUGCACAAUGGGCGCAAGCCUGAUGCAGCGACGCCGCGUGAGGGAUGAAGGCCUUCGGGUUGUAAACCUCUUUCGUCAGGGAACAAGGCACUGCUUUUUUGGUGGUGUUGAGGGUACCUGGAUAAGAAGCGCCGGCUAACUACGUGCCAGCAGCCGCGGUAAUACGUAGGGCGCAAGCGUUGUCCGGAAUUAUUGGGCGUAAAGAGCUCGUAGGCGGCUGGUCGCGUCUGUCGUGAAAACUUCCGGCUCAACCGGGGGCUUGCGGUGGGUACGGGCCGGCUAGAGUGCGGUAGGGGUAACUGGAACUCCUGGUGUAGCGGUGGAAUGCGCAGAUAUCAGGAAGAACACCGAUGGCGAAGGCAGGUUACUGGGCCGUUACUGACGCUGAGGAGCGAAAGCGUGGGGAGCGAACAGGAUUAGAUACCCUGGUAGUCCACGCUGUAAACGUUGGGCACUAGGUGUGAGGCUCCUUUCCGGGGGUUUUGCGCCGUAGCUAACGCAUUAAGUGCCCCGCCUGGGGAGUACGGCCGCAAGGCUA
This 547-nucleotide ribosomal RNA is filed under the name uncultured bacterium. RNAcentral describes it as "bacterial SSU rRNA". It matches the Rfam family "Bacterial small subunit ribosomal RNA", at positions 355 to 896 of the family's 1533-position model. The record is from RNAcentral.